Non-coding RNA from Gossypium raimondii (Peruvian cotton), 107 nucleotides. The record is from Rfam. NCBI's taxonomy places the organism in Eukaryota, Viridiplantae, Streptophyta, Magnoliopsida, Malvales, Malvaceae.
AGUCCAUGGUGAUGACACCUUCUCAACAAAUCCUUAAAUCUCUCCCAUGUAUCAUAAAUAGUUUCUAUAUCAAACUGAACAAAAUAAUAGAUGUCGUUCCUCAACUU